CAGUCGUACGCUUCUUUUUCCACCGGAGCUUGCUCCACCGGAAAAAGAAGAGUGGCGAACGGGUGAGUAACACGUGGGUAACCUGCCCAUCAGAAGGGGAUAACACUUGGAAACAGGUGCUAAUACCGUAUAACAAUCGAAACCGCAUGGUUUUGAUUUGAAAGGCGCUUUCGGGUGUCGCUGAUGGAUGGACCCGCGGUGCAUUAGCUAGUUGGUGAGGUAACGGCUCACCAAGGCCACGAUGCAUAGCCGACCUGAGAGGGUGAUCGGCCACAUUGGGACUGAGACACGGCCCAAACUCCUACGGGAGGCAGCAGUAGGGAAUCUUCGGCAAUGGACGAAAGUCUGACCGAGCAACGCCGCGUGAGUGAAGAAGGUUUUCGGAUCGUAAAACUCUGUUGUUAGAGAAGAACAAGGAUGAGAGUAACUGUUCAUCCCUUGACGGUAUCUAACCAGAAAGCCACGGCUAACUACGUGCCAGCAGCCGCGGUAAUACGUAGGUGGCAAGCGUUGUCCGGAUUUAUUGGGCGUAAAGCGAGCGCAGGCGGUUUCUUAAGUCUGAUGUGAAAGCCCCCGGCUCAACCGGGGAGGGUCAUUGGAAACUGGGAGACUUGAGUGCAGAAGAGGAGAGUGGAAUUCCAUGUGUAGCGGUGAAAUGCGUAGAUAUAUGGAGGAACACCAGUGGCGAAGGCGGCUCUCUGGUCUGUAACUGACGCUGAGGCUCGAAAGCGUGGGGAGCAAACAGGAUUAGAUACCCUGGUAGUCCACGCCGUAAACGAUGAGUGCUAAGUGUUGGAGGGUUUCCGCCCUUCAGUGCUGCAGCUAACGCAUUAAGCACUCCGCCUGGGGAGUACGACCGCAAGGUUGAAACUCAAAGGAAUUGACGGGGGCCCGCACAAGCGGUGGAGCAUGUGGUUUAAUUCGAAGCAACGCGAAGAACCUUACCAGGUCUUGACAUCCUUUGACCACUCUAGAGAUAGAGCUUCCCCUUCGGGGGCAAAGUGACAGGUGGUGCAUGGUUGUCGUCAGCUCGUGUCGUGAGAUGUUGGGUUAAGUCCCGCAACGAGCGCAACCCUUAUUGUUAGUUGCCAUCAUUCAGUUGGGCACUCUAGCAAGACUGCCGGUGACAAACCGGAGGAAGGUGGGGAUGACGUCAAAUCAUCAUGCCCCUUAUGACCUGGGCUACACACGUGCUACAAUGGGAAGUACAACGAGUCGGGAAGUCGCGAGGAUAAGCUAAUUUCUUAAAGCUUUUCUCAGUUCGGAUUGUAGGCUGCAACUCGCCUACAUGAAGCCGGAAUCGCUAGUAAUCGCGGAUCAGCACGCCGCGGUGAAUACGUUCCCGGGCCUUGUACACACCGCCCGUCACACCACGAGAGUUUGUAACACCCGAAGUCGGUGAGGUAACCU
RNAcentral lists this ribosomal RNA (1410 nucleotides) under Enterococcus durans. Its description in RNAcentral is "bacterial SSU rRNA". It matches the Rfam family "Bacterial small subunit ribosomal RNA". Lineage: Bacteria; Bacillati; Bacillota; Bacilli; Lactobacillales; Enterococcaceae. The record is from RNAcentral.